UGCAAGUCGAACGAUGAAGUGGAGCUUGCUCCACGGAUUAGUGGCGAACGGGUGAGUAACACGUGAAUAACCUGCCCUCAAUUUCGGAAUAACCCAGGGAAACCUGGGCUAAUACCGGAUACGUAAACCUGUGGCAUCACAUGGUUUUGGAAAGUUUUUCGAUUGAGGAUGGAUUCGCGGCCUAUCAGCUUGUUGGUGAGGUAAUGGCUCACCAAGGCGACGACGGGUAGCCGGCCUGAGAGGGUGAACGGCCACACUGGGACUGAGACACGGCCCAGAUUCC
Molecule: ribosomal RNA, 283 nt
Filed under: unidentified marine bacterioplankton
Lineage: Bacteria
Also listed under: 1 other name
Description: partial 16S ribosomal RNA
Rfam family: Bacterial small subunit ribosomal RNA
Source: RNAcentral